GGUAGAGGGACGACGUCAAGUCAUCAUGGCCCUUACGGCCAGGGCUACACACGUGCUACAAUGGGGCGUACAGAGAGCUGCGAUACCGCGAGGUGGAGCCAAUCUCUUAAAGCGUCUCUCAGUUCGGAUUGUUCUCUGCAACUCGAGAACAUGAAGCUGGAAUCACUAGUAAUCGCAGAUCAGCUAUGCUGCGGUGAAUACGUUCCCGGGUCUU
This 214-nucleotide ribosomal RNA is filed under the name uncultured Sulfuricurvum sp. RNAcentral's name for it is "partial 16S ribosomal RNA". It matches the Rfam family "Bacterial small subunit ribosomal RNA", at positions 1168 to 1382 of the family's 1533-position model. Lineage: Bacteria; Pseudomonadati; Campylobacterota; Epsilonproteobacteria; Campylobacterales; Sulfurimonadaceae. The record is from RNAcentral.